GCUCGGCUCGUUUCCACCCCUAACCAUUUCUCGUUUGUGAAAUAUCGCCAUCCGACUCGCAAAAAGGUCCUAUACAAAAUUAAAAUUUUAAUCAGCCCAACUUUAAUUUUAUAAAAUAAAAAUAUCUUAAUAUGUUAUUUAAAUUAACUUAUAUUAUAAUUUUAUCCUUUUUAGGCUUAGUUUGGCAUUGUGGCCUAUCGAACGCUAUUAGAUAAAAUAGAGUUGAGGAGAGAUAUGCUUCUGCGUUCUUCGGUGGGACCGUAGAAAAUAUAUCGUAACCGACUCAUUGCGAUAUGUGGAACGCAAUAUUACGUACGGAAACAAACAGGAUAUUUUUCUAACGUACUUUCUCACCGCACGUAACGUAAUAUCCCCGCAAUCCUAGCCGCACGUAACGCAAUAUCCCCGUAAUCCCAAACAAAGUCUUAGACCACUGGUUUUGUGCUUUUCGAAAAUAAACUAUUUUUUUGGAGUUUGAAGAGUAGGUCUAGAUUUUUAGUAAACCGAUAAAAAAAAAAAAAAUUCUCCCUUUCCUUUU
RNAcentral lists this long non-coding RNA (538 nucleotides) under Ananas comosus (pineapple). RNAcentral describes it as "long non-coding RNA (ACOM_LNC030708)". Lineage: Eukaryota; Viridiplantae; Streptophyta; Magnoliopsida; Poales; Bromeliaceae. The record is from RNAcentral.